Molecule: unclassified non-coding RNA, 221 nt
Filed under: Glomeraceae sp.
Lineage: Eukaryota; Fungi; Glomeromycota; Glomeromycetes; Glomerales; Glomeraceae
Description: partial contains 5.8S ribosomal RNA and internal transcribed spacer 2
Rfam family: 5.8S ribosomal RNA (bases 1-71)
Source: RNAcentral
GUGAAUCAUCGAAUUUUUGAACGCAAAUUGCACUCUCUGGUAUUCCGGAGAGUAUGCCUGUUUGAGGGUCAGUAUAAAUAAAAAUCGAGGGGCUGUUUAAGGUGACGCAAUCGGGAUCGGGUGAUUGUUAAUCUUAAUAAAGGUAUAAAGUGACCUAAAAUUGAUGAUACCUUGUGCAUCUCAAGACGUACAUAAGAAUCUUUUUUUUAUCAGUCUGGAGU